Molecule: ribosomal RNA, 397 nt
Filed under: uncultured bacterium
Lineage: Bacteria
Description: partial 16S ribosomal RNA
Rfam family: Bacterial small subunit ribosomal RNA
Source: RNAcentral
AUACGUAGGGGGCGAGCGUUGUCCGGAAUGAUUGGGCGUAAAGGGCGCGUAGGCGGCCCGUUAAGUCUGGAGUGAAAGUCCUGCUUUUAAGGUGGGAAUUGCUUUGGAUACUGAUGGGCUUGAGUGCAGGAGAGGUAAGUGGAAUUCCCAGUGUAGCGGUGAAAUGCGUAGAGAUUGGGAGGAACACCAGUGGCGAAGGCGACUUACUGGACUGUAACUGACGCUGAGGCGCGAAAGUGUGGGGAGCAAACAGGAUUAGAUACCCUGGUAGUCCACGCCGUAAACGAUGAGUGCUAAGUGUUGGGGGGUUUCCGCCCCUCAGUGCUGCAGCUAACGCAUUAAGCACUCCGCCUGGGGAGUACGGUCGCAAGACUGAAACUCAAAUGAAUUGACGGGG